Molecule: non-coding RNA, 351 nt
Organism: Schizosaccharomyces pombe (fission yeast)
Lineage: Eukaryota; Fungi; Ascomycota; Schizosaccharomycetes; Schizosaccharomycetales; Schizosaccharomycetaceae
Source: the annotation of a GenBank genome assembly
UCUUGGUCAUAAGCAUAUUCAUUCUUUCUUUUAUACUCAUAGGUUUUUCGGGAAUUACAUCGCCCUGCUCAGCGUUUGGAUUCGUAUGCUCUUUUUCGGGUUUAGAGACACGUCGUGCAUUCACAGCAAUAGACAUACUGGCACGUCUUCCCACCACACCUCGUUCUGUGGCCAUAUUGGUUGGAGGUACACUUUUGCUUUCUACCUCGCCUAGCCCAACUGGAGCAUUGGAACUUUGAAGACUAGAGGGUGUAGGCGCAGAUAUAUUGUUUUGUGGGUUUUCCACAGAUUUUAAGUUUACAGGUUUUGGGACAGGAGCGGGAGCAGCAGCUACCUUGUUUAAACUUGAUG